Molecule: ribosomal RNA, 393 nt
Filed under: uncultured bacterium
Lineage: Bacteria
Description: partial 16S ribosomal RNA
Rfam family: Bacterial small subunit ribosomal RNA
Source: RNAcentral
AUACGGAGGAUGCGAGCGUUAUCCGGAUUUAUUGGGUUUAAAGGGUGCGUAGGCUGUGCGUUAAGUCAGGGGUGAAAUGCCGUCGCUCAACGACGGAGCUGCCCUUGAUACUGCCGAGCUGGAGUACGGAUGCCGUUGGAGGAAUGAGUGGUGUAGCGGUGAAAUGCAUAAAUAUCACUCAGAACACCGAUUGCGAAGGCAUCUGACGAAUCCGUCACUGACGCUGAGGCACGAAAGCGUGGGGAUAAAACAGGAUUAGAUACCCUGGUAUUCCACGCCGUAAACGAUGAUGACUAACCGCCUGCGAUACAAUGUAGGUGGCCAAGCGAAAGCGAUAAGUCAUCCACCUGGGGAGUACGACCGCAAGGUUGAAACUCAAAGGAAUUGACGGGG